This 497-nucleotide ribosomal RNA is filed under the name uncultured bacterium. RNAcentral's name for it is "partial 16S ribosomal RNA". It matches the Rfam family "Bacterial small subunit ribosomal RNA", at positions 28 to 507 of the family's 1533-position model. The record is from RNAcentral.
GAUGAACGCUGGCGGCGUGCCUAACACAUGCAAGUCGAGCGAAAGCACGAGAAGCGCGCGCCCUUGCUGUUAGCGGCGGGCGGGCGAGUAACACGUGGAUAACCUUCCUAUAAGACUGGGAUAACUUCGGGAAACCGGAUACACUACUGGCUAAUACUUUGAACCGCAUGGAUCAAAAGUGAUUGACGGUCUUCCCGUCACUUUUAGAUGGAUCCGCGCUGCAUUAGCUAGUUGGUAAGGUAACGGCUUACCAAGGCAACGAUGCGUAGCCGACCUGAGAGGGUGAUCGGCCACACUGGAACUGAGACACGGUCCAGACUCCUACGGGAGGCAGCAGUAGGGAAUCUUCGACAAUGGGCGAAAGCCUGACGGAGCAACACCGCGUGGGUGAAGAAGGUCUUCGGGUCGUAAAGCUCUGUUGUUAGGAAAGAAAAUAUGUGGAUGAAACUGUGGACAUCUUGACGGUACCUAAUCAGAAAGCCACGGCUAACUACGUG